CUUUAAUGGAGAGUUUGAUCCUGGCUCAGGACGAACGCUGGCGGCGUGCCUAAUACAUGCAAGUCGAGCGCACAGAA
RNAcentral lists this ribosomal RNA (77 nucleotides) under Shouchella lonarensis. Its description in RNAcentral is "Bacillus lonarensis 16S rRNA. Bacterial SSU". It matches the Rfam family "Bacterial small subunit ribosomal RNA", at positions 1 to 75 of the family's 1533-position model. Lineage: Bacteria; Bacillati; Bacillota; Bacilli; Caryophanales; Bacillaceae. The record is from RNAcentral.